CAACAAAAUCAGUACGAUUAUGGAGGAUUCAUGUUACAAAUCGAAUGCUAGUGUCUAAAUACUCACUAAUCCCAGUGUUUUGAGCAUAAGGAUCGAAAGAAGAAGGAGCUAGUUCCGGAUCACAAACAAAGGCACAAGAUCGAGGAUCGAAAGAAGAAGGAGCUAGUUCCGGAUCACAAACAAAGGCACAAGAUCGAGGUAAAGCACCCGUAUGAUUGUCAUCGCGU
Helianthus annuus (common sunflower) is the source of this 227-nucleotide long non-coding RNA. RefSeq lists it as uncharacterized. Lineage: Eukaryota; Viridiplantae; Streptophyta; Magnoliopsida; Asterales; Asteraceae. The record is from RefSeq and is a predicted model, not a curated record. The transcript is spliced from 4 exons.